This 253-nucleotide ribosomal RNA is filed under the name uncultured bacterium. RNAcentral's name for it is "partial 16S ribosomal RNA". It matches the Rfam family "Bacterial small subunit ribosomal RNA", at positions 524 to 776 of the family's 1533-position model. The record is from RNAcentral.
UACGUAGGGUGCGAGCGUUAAUCGGAAUUACUGGGCGUAAAGCGUGCGCAGGCGGUUUUGUAAGCCAGAUGUGAAAUCCCCGGGCUUAACCUGGGAAUGGCAUUUGGGACUGCAAGGCUUGAGUGUGGCAGAGGAGACUGGAACUCCUGGUGUAGCAGUGAAAUGCGUAGAUAUCAGGAGGAACACCGAUGGCGAAGGCAGGUCUCUGGGCUAACACUGACGCUCAUGCACGAAAGCGUGGGGAGCAAACAGG